UGGGGAAUUUUGGACAAUGGGCGAAAGCCUGAUCCAGCAAUGCCGCGUGUGUGAAGAAGGCCUUCGGGUUGUAAAGCACUUUUGUCCGGAAAGAAAUGGCUCUGGUUAAUACCUGGGGUCGAUGACGGUACCGGAAGAAUAAGGACCGGCUAACUACGUGCCAGCAGCCGCGGUAAUACGUAGGGUCCAAGCGUUAAUCGGAAUUACUGGGCGUAAAGCGUGCGCAGGCGGUUGUGCAAGACCGAUGUGAAAUCCCCGAGCUUAACUUGGGAAUUGCAUUGGUGACUGCACGGCUAGAGUGUGUCAGAGGGGGGUAGAAUUCCACGUGUAGCAGUGAAAUGCGUAGAGAUGUGGAGGAAUACCGAUGGCGAAGGCAGCCCCCUGGGAUAACACUGACGCUCAUGCACGAAAGCGUGGGGAGCAAACAGGAUUAGAUACCCUGGUAGUCCACGCCCUAAACGAUGUCAACUAGUUGUUGGGGACUCAUUUCCUUAGUAACGUAGCUAACGCGUGAAGUUG
Molecule: ribosomal RNA, 519 nt
Filed under: uncultured bacterium
Lineage: Bacteria
Description: partial 16S ribosomal RNA
Rfam family: Bacterial small subunit ribosomal RNA
Source: RNAcentral